RNAcentral lists this ribosomal RNA (914 nucleotides) under uncultured archaeon. RNAcentral describes it as "bacterial SSU rRNA". It matches the Rfam family "Archaeal small subunit ribosomal RNA", at positions 6 to 921 of the family's 1478-position model. The record is from RNAcentral.
GGUUGAUCCUGCCGGAGGCCAUUGCUAUUGGGAUUCGAUUUAGCCAUGCUAGUCGUACGAGUUCAUACUCGUGGCGAAUAGCUCAGUAACACGUGGCCAAACUACCCUUCGGAGCACAAUACCCUCGGGAAACUGAGGUUAAUAGUGCAUACCACAAUCCAGCUGGAAUGAGGAUUGUGCCAAACGCUCCGGCGCCGAAGGAUGUGGCUGCGGCCGAUUAGGUAGACGGUGGGGUAACGGCCCACCGUGCCAAUAAUCGGUACGGGUCAUGAGAGUGAGAACCCGGAGACGGAAUCUGAGACAAGAUUCCGGGCCCUACGGGGCGCAGCAGGCGCGAAACCUUUACACUGCACGCCAGUGCGAUAAGGGAAUCCCAAGUGCGCAGGCAUAGAGCCUGCGCUUUUGUCCACCGUAGGGAGGUGGACGAAUAAGGGCUGGGCAAGACCGGUGCCAGCCGCCGCGGUAAUACCGGCAGCCCGAGUGAUGGCCGAUCUUAUUGGGCCUAAAGCGUCCGUAGCUGGCCGCACAAGUCCAUCGGAAAAUCCACCCGCUCAACGGGUGGGCGUCCGGUGGAAACUGUGUGGCUUGGGACCGGAAGGCGCGACGGGUACGUCCGGGGUAGGAGUGAAAUCCCGUAAUCCUGGACGGACCGCCGAUGGCGAAAGCACGUCGCGAAGACGGAUCCGACAGUGAGGGACGAAAGCCAGGGUCUCGAACCGGAUUAGAUACCCGGGUAGUCCUGGCCGUAAACAAUGUCUGUUAGGUGUGGCUCCCACUACGAGUGGGUGCUGUGCCGUAGGGAAGCCGCUAAACAGACCGCCUGGGAAGUACGUCCGCAAGGAUGAAACUUAAAGGAAUUGGCGGGGGAGCACUACAACCGGAGGAGCCUGCGGUUUAAUUGGAUUCAACGCCGG